AUGAACGCUGGCGGCGUGCCUAAUACCUGCAAGUCGAGCGCACAGACGAGGAGCUUGCUCCUCUGACGUUAGCGGCGGACGGGUGAGUAACACGUGGAUAACCUACCUAUAAGACUGGGAUAACUUCGGGAAACCGGAGCUAAUACCGGAUAAUAUAUUGAACCGCAUGGUUCAAUAGUGAAAGACGGUUUUGCUGUCACUUAUAGAUGGAUCCGCGCCGCAUUAGCUAGUUGGUAAGGUAACGGCUUACCAAGGCAACGAUGCGUAGCCGACCUGAGAGGGUGAUCGGCCACACCGGAACUGAGACACGGUCCAGACUCCUACGGGAGGCAGCAGUAGGGAAUCUUCCGCAAUGGGCGAAAGCUUGACGGAGCAACGCCGCGUGAGUGAUGAAGGUCUUCGGAUCGUAAAACUCUGUUAUUAGGGAAGAACAAAUGUGUAAGUAACUAUGCACGUCUUGACGGUACCUAAUCAGAAAGCCACGGCUAACUACGUG
Molecule: ribosomal RNA, 496 nt
Filed under: uncultured bacterium
Lineage: Bacteria
Description: partial 16S ribosomal RNA
Rfam family: Bacterial small subunit ribosomal RNA
Source: RNAcentral